This is a non-coding RNA of Podarcis lilfordi (Lilford's wall lizard), 7791 nucleotides long. Lineage: Eukaryota; Metazoa; Chordata; Lepidosauria; Squamata; Lacertidae. The record is from the annotation of a GenBank genome assembly.
UGAAAUGGUGCCUGGUGUACAACAUUGUGAUAUGUUACCAGCUAAACAUCACGAUAUACCAAGAUCACAACUGCCCCAGAGCCCUUGCACUGUAUUCCCAAAUUCAGGUAAGCAGCCCUCCACCUUGCUGCCACCCCAUUCUGGGGAUUUGUGGCUUUACGUACCCCCCCCCCAAAUAUGGGGAUUACAAUUUAUUUUUCCACAGAACUAGCAUGGCCCUGCCUGCAGAGAGAGCCCAAAGGAGGAGCAAGGAAGAGGGAAAGAAGUUCCUAGCAAGAACCGUAAGGCAUCUCGCACUGGCAUCUUCCUCAUAUCGUACCAGCCUGGUGCCUGGUGCUUAAAACAAGAAGCUCAUGGUAUCUAUAUUACUAAGGAAAGUUCCCAGGUAGGCUGCUUUCUUGAGUGCCUGCUCUUGUGGUUUGCUGCCCUCUGCAGGAAGCAGGGGACAGUUGAGGCAGCAGGAACCACAAGAGAAGUGAUGACCAGCUUCACAGACCAGCUCCGACACUGAUUUUUUUGACAUACCACAUGCACACAUUGUUAUGUAUAUCACCACAUGGAGUAUGAUGAUCUAAUGUUGAACUCCCCCUCUCCGCUGCCCUGGAAACUUCCACAGCCCUUGUGCUACUAGGGAUGUUGGAGAAAAUCUGUUCCGUUCACUUUUAAUGGAGAAUCUCGCUAACCCACACUUCCUGAAUCAAUACAAGAACCAAAAUGCAGCCAUCCUUUGAAAUGCACGUCUCCAGAUUUUGCAAUGCAGUUCUCCAGCCAACAAAUCACUUUUGUUCAUUUUCAUUCAUACACACACACACACACACACACACACACUGCUAUAGCAUGAAAAAUAUCAAAGUGGUUAACAAUAAUAUCUAUAUAGUAUAAAACCACAUAAAAUUAUAAGCUUUUCUGAAAGAUGUAUAAGGUUAGCUGAACAGAAUUGAUUAAGGACUGAUUUAGGAGGCACCUGUUGAAUCUCUAUUGGCAGAGUAUUCCACAGCAUCGGGUGGAUGUGUACAAAAUGUCGUGUACCACGUGUACCAAAAUGCUGAGGUAAUGUGCACAUAAAAAGGCAGAUUCAUGGGAAAAAACAUACAAAAUACAUUGUAGUGGUAAAAUUGCUUUCCAAGAUGUAUAUAUUAGGAUACAUUUGCACUAAAUGCUGAUGAAUUUUCAUGAAGUGUGUGUGUGUAUCUCACAGACUGGUGUGGAAAUGUGAAUAACUGAAUUUAAGAUUUUUUAAAAAAACAGGAGAAGCUGAGAGAAGCCAAAAUGUACAUAUUCACCCAGUUCUGGGCCCUACUGAAGUCAGAAUCCUGAUGUCAGUAGACACAAAAAGUAAGAACAUGGCUCUAAAGACUGUUCAGAAACUUCAGCUGGUGCAGGAUUCAGUGGCCAGGUUGUGGGCAGGAUGGUUUGAGCAUAUAACACCAAUUGCAAUACCUCAAGGACCGCCUCUCCCCAUAUGAUCUACCCAGACCUUUAGAUCAUCUUUUGAGGCCCUCUCCUCCAAGAGAGGUCCAGAGGGUGGCAGCAUGAGAACAGGCCUUUUCUGUAGUGGCUCCCUGCUUGUGGAAUGGCCUUCCCAGGGAGGCUCACCUCAUGCUCUCAUUACAUAUUCUACAGGAAAUUACUGCAGGAGAUUGUAGGAUAUGGUGACUUCAAGCUGCUGCAAACACCCUUUGGAUCAUCACUGCUCCAACUGCCCAACACCAGGUCACAUAGGAAGCUGCCUUAAGGUUAGUCAGACUCCUGGCCCAUCCAGGUCAGUACUGUCUACACUGAUUGGAAGUGUCUGUCCAGGGUUUCAGAGGAGUCUUAACCAGCUCCAUCUGGAGAUGCCAGGGACUCAACUUGUGACAUUCUACCAUGUUCUCUACCACUGAGCUACCACCUUUCUUCAACCAGGAGGUACACAUAUGCUUUACAUAUUCAGACUGUUGGGCCAUCUAGCUCCAUAUCAUCUACACCAGGAAUAGGAAACUUGUGGCCUUCUGUAUGUCGUCAGACUACAUCACCCCUGACCACUGGACAUUCUGCCUGGGGCUGGUGGGAAUUCAACUGUAACAAGUUUUGGAGGCGCACAAGGUCCGCAUCCCUGGUAUCCACUGACUACUGGAAGCUCUCCAGGGUUUUAGACAUGGGAGAUGCUGGGGGUUGAACUUGAGACCUUCUAUCUGCAAAGCAUUUGCUCAACCACUAAGCCAUUGAUCAUAAAACACUAGACCGAGAAUCCCCCUUAAUCCUGGAAUUGACUCUGCCAGGCUACUCUCUACUUCAAACAUAAGCAGCAAACCAGUGCACAAAGAAGGACAUGUCACUUGGCUCUCAUUUUAGCACCAUCUUCACCAACCUAGUGACUUUCAGCUCUUUUGGAUUCCAACUCCCAAUAGCCCCAGGCAGCUUGUGGCUGGUUGGUGAAGCUUGGCCUAGCACCUCAAGCAUCAGAAAGCUCUUAAGAUCUACAUAGGGGUGUAGGGGCAUUCCGUCCAGAACCUGAAAUUGCCUCUGUUGCGAGCCCAGAUUACUUCUCUUAGGCUCUUUGACUGUAAGCCUGGGUCACCCUGAUGCUGUGGGUGUUUUCCCAUAUUGCAACAGGAAACCAACAGAAAUGGUGCAAUGUGGUGGUUAUUGCUAAGAACUUGAGAUCAGAAGUCCCAUGCCAUAGUUCAAAUCUUGCCAUAGCCAUGCAUUCGAUAGGCCUAUGACAGUUUCACCGCCAGAGUAGUAAUAAUGCUCCCUCUGUUUAAGUGUUUUCAUCUAUGCGGUCAAAAGCAGCCCAAUAAGAGUGAGGAAUCAGCCAACUAGGGGAAGCCCUGAAGUUUGCAUAAGUGCAAAAAAUAUGUUUGGGGGUGGGCCUAAAGGGAAGAAAACCCCUGAAACAGUCCAACAAGGACUGAACAUGAUGAGUAGCCACAUAAUAUUGGCUUCUUUUAUUUUUUAAGUGGGGUGGGGAGAGAGGAGAAAAACUGGGAGGAGGAAUUGAAUGGAGUGUCUGGAACAGGAGAACUCAUCCAAUACAGCAAUAUUUUGAUUAUAAUGGCUAGUUGUGAGAGGCAUAUAUUAGUUCUUAUGCAUGCGAAGGGAAUACAGUACAGUGGUACCUUGGGUUACAUAUGCUUCAGGUUACAUACGCUUCAGGUUACAGACUCCGCUAACCCAGAAAGAGUACCUCGGGUUAAGAACUUUGCUUCAGGAUGAGAACAGAAAUCGUGCAGCGGCGGCGCAGCAGCAAGAGGCCCCAUUAGCUAAAGUGGUGCUUCAGGUUAAGAACAGUUUCAGGUUAAGACAGACAUCCAGAACGAAUUCAGUUCUUAACCCGAGGUACCACUGUACAGAUAAUGAAAGCUCUUUUAUCAAUGUUCUCCACCCUGUUCUUUUCCCACUUGUAUCUUUUUGAUACAGAUGUGGAAUUAUUAUUAUUAAAAUAAUUUGUUUUCAAGACUGAAAAGUGACUUGAGAAGUGAGGAAAAUCCUCACCUUUACAGGAAAAUCAUAUAAUGAUAAAUAUUGCUUCUUUUGCAAUUGGAGAACUGUGUAGCUGAAGAAAAAGGAGAAGAGUCUGACUGAGAUUACCAAUUGUGCAACAUAGUAAAAAGGAAAGGGGGGGGCAAAUCCCCCAACAUAUACACCUAUGUAAUUACUGUAUUCUGCUAACCAAACACUGUGGAGAAUUGAAAAAGCACUGAAUCGCAAGACAUUCCAUCAAUAGCUUUUAAAGUUUCCAUGACAAAUCCUGCCCUAUAGAAAUAAGCCAAAUGACUGUGAGCUAAGGGCCAUUUCAAAGGCAAAGUUCCUCUCAUAAGCCACACACUGCCCACUGGCAAGAAGCUUUCUGCUGUUUCAGACAGGUGACAUUCCUAGUCUUACCGGGAGAUACAGGGGAUGGAACCUGGGACCUCCUGGUUAUGAAUCAGAUGCUCUGCCACUGAACCUGUAGAUCUUCCCUGGGCCUAAUGAACUGCAGUGAAGGGGUGUUGGGCAUUUGGUUCUGGGAUAACUAACUCAAUGGUAGUGCCUAUGCUCUCCUCCCAUAUGCAUGUCUCAGGCCAGGUCAUCCUUGCAUAGGGAUGGGUGGGAAAUUGGAUUCAGUCUGCAUUUAAAGGCGAACCUACCAAAUCCACUCUUCCUGACAAACCAGAACACAACCAUAUUUCUAAAUGCAUACUACCUCAAAUUUUUCAGUAGAGUACCACAAGUAACACGUAAAACAAUGCAUUUAUAAAGUCUGCAUCAAAGUGCAUACAUUAGUGAAAACAGCAUGCAAAAAUGCAUUAUAAUGGGAGAAGUUGCUUUGCAAUAAUUUACAUUAGCAAGAUUUGCAAGGGUCUCUCCCAGCCCAACCUGGAGAUGCCGGGGACCGAACCUGGGACCUUCUGCAUGCAAGGCAGAUGCUCUGCCACCAGUCAGCUUCUGUAUAUGGAGCAUGUGUGUGUUUGUGAUACUAUUUCAUCCUUCACACAAGACAUUAAAAAUAAUGGUCUCAGGUUCCAACCUCAGGUUCCAACCCCAGAACCUCUAGCUAAAAAAUCUGAGGUGCCAGGGCUGUGAAAGAUAGAUGACAGUUGAAGUAGGCUAUUCUGGAAUAGACAGCUGGGUUUACUGCACAACAGCUUCUUCCACCUGUCAUGAGCCCAGUGGUGUUAUUGCACCAGAGACCAAUUUGGCCAAAGAAUCAAGUGUCUAGGAAAAUACUUCCCAAAGAAAUCCAAUACAGAAUCCCUCUCUCAAUUGCCAAAAAAACCCUACUAUUGUUGCAAUUUAAAAACAUAUAUAUGGGGUGUGGGGAAAGCCAACCAAUACUUCUACUAAAUUCAUAAGGAAAUGAAGAAAUACUGCAAGAAACUGGAUUUCGGCUGAACCAAGCAAAAGAAACCCAAAACACCACAUGUUUUACCUUGGCUUUCAGGGGUGUCACUGGAGACCUUUCUUUCUCCCUCUCAAUUGCCUUUGGCACUGACGCCACCCUCAGGGGCUCCAUUUUCCAGCAACCCUUUUGUUUCUGCCACAAGUGGGCAAGAUGAACCAGCUUGCUCCUUCUUCUCUCAUCAAUCUGUUGGUCCUGUGCAUUGUUGGCCCCGAGGAAUAGCUAUGCUGGAGAGCAAUUGCGGACGGCCCUGUCCAAUCUCCUGGCCCUCGUGCGGCUGAGCAGAGAUUUACCUGUCAAACACCUCCACCCCACCCCACCCCACCCCACCUUCUUUAUCCUUGGGCUUCUCUUGAUUUCCCAAUGGCCUCUUGCUUGGUGGCUCUAGCAGUGCAGUGUCUCACCUUUCACCCGGAGUAAAAGGACAACUCCUUGGUCGGUUUGUUUUAGUUAGGGCUAAAAACUGCCUGGAAUGUAGUGAGGCAGAGGAAUAAGGUUGCUGUCCUGCCAUAGGCAACUUUUUGCUCUAUCUCACUCCUUGUUGUCCACACCAGGGAAAGUACCUUGAUGACGAGGGUGCCUGUUGAUGAGGGAAGCAGCUGAAAUGGCACAAGCAAAAUUUUUUCCCUGCAAACUAGUCAUCGGUUGAUUUCCCUCCACAAAGGAGGAAAAAUAUGUCUACAAGAGUCAGUGGUUGCUUAGUGGGGGAAAAUUAGUCCUUGUUAAAUUCAGCAUCAUUUUAAUGCAAAUUUUUCAUAAUAUGCAUAUGCUUGUAUGCACUUUGUCUAAUAUACACAUUUUGGAAAGCUGUGUAACUUCAUAUAAUCCAUUUGUGUAUAUUGUUUUCAUGGGUACAUUCAUUUUUAUGCUCACUCUCCCCCAAAAUGUGCAUAAUGGAGUACUGAAUUGCUAAAAAGAAAGAAAGAAAGAAAGAAAGAAAGAAAGGAAGGAAGGAAGGAAGGAAGGAAGGAAGGAAGGAAGGAAGGAAGGUGUGAAUUGUGAACAAUGUCUGUUUUCUUGUUUCAUGUAUUGUUUUGGAAAGUGAAGAUUAGGUAUAGAUUCAUCUUUAAAUGCAAACUAAAUUGAGUUUCUCCCUCAUCCCUAUGGGAGAGACAGUGUGGACAGACAACUGGAUUCAGAUAUGGAAGAUGUGAAUUCACUGGGGUUUCCCCAAAGAUAAUGCUGUUCCCUAGUCUCCAUUUGUAAAAAAGGGGAAAUGGUGGUUUACAAGUUUGGCAGGAGAACAAAACUAUGAAGCAGAUAUUGAGAACUUGUGGUCUAUCAUAUGUUUGUUUGUUUGUUUAUAAAGGCAUUAUAAAGGGUGGCCCCAAAGUAGGUAUACAGUUGAAUAAAUGAAAUUCAUCACAACAGGUUAUAUGGGUACACAUUAGUGGCACACAACAAAGUGGCAGUUAAAUUUCAGGUUGGUAGUUGGAAAGAACAGUGGAGUCAGAUAAAAGGAUUAUUUUUCUUUACUGAUACUGUGACUGAUGACAGUGAACAUGAGUCAAGAACAAAGAAAGUGGAUUCUAAAGCAGUAUACCUACCUAGGGGCCACCCUGUAUGCUACCAUAUGAUGAAUCAGGACAGUGUACAAUGAUAAAACACAAUGAAAAGCAGUACAAAACGAUGGUUAAAAUGACUGGCUACUUGUUGGUCUUCAUCUCCCAUCAGCCUCACCCAGCAUGACUGAUAGCCAAGGAAGACUGGAGCUGGAGCUCAGCAACAUCUGGAGUGCCCACAGGUCCCCACCUCUGCUGCAAAGCAUUCAGUGGUGCUGUCAGAACAAGGCUUUGGGGCAAAUGUCCAAGGCCCCACUCAGCAAUUUUGCAGUAAGUGAAGUAACACAAACUGCCAUCCAAGGACCUUUCUAAUCCAGAAAAGACCGCUGUUUUAUUGCAGGAGAAUUCUGCAACAUAUGGUUGACAUAAUAUUAGUGCACGGGUGGUGAAUUUAUUCUGUUUUUUUCUUGGUUCUGCAAUGUUUCCCUAUUGUUAACACAUUAUUGCUGCCUGUCCAGGGGGGCUACGGCAAAACAAAAGCAGGACAUAAAUAAACCAGUUAUGGAUUUUGGCAGGAAGUUACAGGAUAUGCAAUGACUGGAUGUCAGAUGUGCAGCAGGUAAGGGCAGGGCUUCAAAAGAACAACCAGCCACUUAGAGUGGGCUGCUGAUUGCUCCUUUGCUGGCAAAAGGUGUGCUCCCACUGGGCCAUAGGAGCAUGCCUUGCUCAAGAAGUGGAAAGAAGUUUAGAAUCAAUAUAAACUGCUUCUCCUUCUUAGACUGCUCUUUGAAACCACAGUGUGCUGCUCAUUUCAACCUCCAGUUUUUGAGGCUUGCAAAGGGCUUUGUGAGCCAUUUCCCGCUGCUCCUUUCAACCCCUGAAAUUAGGCUGACAAAGCCCCUUGCACUGUGGUUUCCGAGUUUGGGGAUCCCACGCAAGGGAUUUUAACAGGGUGCGGAGGACAACCCAGCUGUCAACCCUGUGAUAUCAUAAUGACACAAUAUGACUGAGAAAUAGGUUGCCUCACCUGACUGUCAAAGCUGGCACCCAGAGUAAAAAUCCCCAAACUGAUUUAUGGUCUCUGCAUUUGCUAGCAUAAUCCUCUGUGUCUUAGAAUAAUAGAAUUGUAGAGUUGGAAGGGACACCUAGUCCAGCCCCCCACAAUACAGGAAUAAAUUGUAUAUCCCAGUGAUAUUCUGAAUAUGCAAUAUAUUAGUGUUUUGAUGUAUUUUGUUAUCACUUUGUUGUUUUAUUGCUUUGUGUGGUCCCAAUUUUUAAAAAUGUAAGAAAGAGAACAGAAAAGAAUUGCAGCCAAUUUUUAUUUUAAUUAGGACAGCCUUGUUGUUAUUUUACAAUCUUUUGUAAAUUUACAAAAUUGAACGUACCCAUUUCAUUAUAGGACCGCCCUAUUGCAGAUCACCAUGC